GACCUUUUAGUAUAGUUUUUGUACACCUGACUUCCAAUCAGGUAGUUUCGAGGUUA
Molecule: transfer RNA, 56 nt
Filed under: Baylisascaris procyonis (raccoon roundworm)
Lineage: Eukaryota; Metazoa; Nematoda; Chromadorea; Rhabditida; Ascarididae
Description: tRNA-Gly
Source: RNAcentral